AACGAACGCUGGCGGCAUGCCUAACACAUGCAAGUCGAACGAGACCUUCGGGUCUAGUGGCGCACGGGUGCGUAACACGUGGGAAUCUGCCCUUCGGUUCGGAAUAACAGUUAGAAAUGACUGCUAAUACCGGAUAAUGACGUAAGUCCAAAGAUUUAUCGCCGAAGGAUGAGCCCGCGUAGGAUUAGCUAGUUGGUGGGGUAAUGGCCUACCAAGGCGACGAUCCUUAGCUGGUCUGAGAGGAUGAUCAGCCACACUGGGACUGAGACACGGCCCAGACUCCUACGGGAGGCAGCAGUGGGGAAUAUUGGACAAUGGGCGAAAGCCUGAUCCAGCAAUGCCGCGUGAGUGAUGAAGGCCUUCGGGUUGUAAAGCUCUUUUACCAGGGAUGAUAAUGACAGUACCUGGAGAAUAAGCUCCGGCUAACUCCGUGCCAGCAGCCGCCGUAA
Molecule: ribosomal RNA, 449 nt
Filed under: uncultured bacterium
Lineage: Bacteria
Description: partial 16S ribosomal RNA
Rfam family: Bacterial small subunit ribosomal RNA
Source: RNAcentral